AGGGUCUCUCCUCAGAGUCGGGUUGCUUGAGAGUGCAGCCCUAAGUGGGUGGUAAACUCCAUCUAAGGCUAAAUAUGACCACGAGACCGAUAGCGAACAAGUACCGUGAGGGAAAGUUGAAAAGCACUUUGAAGAGAGAGUUCAAGAGUACGUGAAACCGUUCAGGGGUAAACCUGAGAAACCCGAAAGGUCGAAAGGGGAAAUUCAUUCGCGUCUCGGCUGUCGGCGAUGAACGGUCGUGUGACGGAUGGCGCUCGCGUCGUCUGCGCCUUCUGUUUUUCGAACCGAUGUCGAACGCGUGCACUUUUCCCCUAGUAGGACGUCGCGAUCCGUUAGGUGUCGGUCUACGGCUCGCGGUGGAGUCCGUGUGCGAUCGUUUCGGCGAUUCGUGCUCGAACCCGCGGUGUCCCGGCCGACUCGCUCGACGGUAUACAGAUGGCGCGAGGCCGCUACAUUAAUUAGCGUCCGACCCACGGCAAGCGCGU
This 485-nucleotide ribosomal RNA is filed under the name Bruchidius mulunguensis. Its description in RNAcentral is "eukaryotic LSU rRNA". It matches the Rfam family "Eukaryotic large subunit ribosomal RNA", at positions 248 to 634 of the family's 3401-position model. Lineage: Eukaryota; Metazoa; Arthropoda; Insecta; Coleoptera; Chrysomelidae. The record is from RNAcentral.